AGUGGGAUAACUGGGUCAAAUGGUGGUUUCAUUUCAAGAUUUCUGAGGAAUCUCCAGACUGCUUUCUAUAGUGGCUGCACCAUUUUCAGUCCCACCAGCAGU
This 102-nucleotide microRNA precursor is filed under the name Marmota monax (woodchuck). Lineage: Eukaryota; Metazoa; Chordata; Mammalia; Rodentia; Sciuridae. The record is from RNAcentral.